Molecule: ribosomal RNA, 497 nt
Filed under: uncultured bacterium
Lineage: Bacteria
Description: partial 16S ribosomal RNA
Rfam family: Bacterial small subunit ribosomal RNA
Source: RNAcentral
GAUGAACGCUGGCGGCGUGCCUAAUACAUGCAAGUCGAGCGAACAGACGAGGAGCUUGCUCCUCUGACGUUAGCGGCGGACGGGUGAGUAACACGUGGAUAACCUACCUAUAAGACUGGGAUAACUUCGGGAAACCGGAGCUAAUACCGGAUAAUAUAUUGAACCGCAUGGUUCAAUAGUGAAAGACGGUUUUGCUGUCACUUAUAGAUGGAUCCGCGCCGCAUUAGCUAGUUGGUAAGGUAACGGCUUACCAAGGCAACGAUGCGUAGCCGACCUGAGAGCGUGGUCGGACACACUGGAAGUGAGACACAGUCCAGACUCCUACGGGAGGCAGCAGUAGGGAAUCUUCCGCAAUGGGCGAAAGCGUGACGGAGCAACGCCGCGUGAGUGAUGAAGGUCUUCGGAUCGUAAAACUCUGUUAUUAGGGAAGAACAAAUGUGUAAGUAACUAUGAACGUCUUGACGGUACCGAAUGAGAAAGCCACGGCUAACUACGUG